UUAAGCGACUAAGCGUACACGGUGGAUGCCCUGGCAGUCAGAGGCGAUGAAGGACGUGCUAAUCUGCGAAAAGCGCCGGCGAGGUGAUAUGAACCCUUGACCCGGCGAUGUCCGAAUGGGGAAACCCAGUGCAAUCCGUUGCACUAUCGUUAACUGAAUACAUAGGUUAACGAGGCGAACCGGGGGAACUGAAACAUCUAAGUACCCCGAGGAAAAGAAAUCAACCGAGAUUCCCCCAGUAGCGGCGAGCGAACGGGGAGCAGCCCGGAGUCUGAAUCAGCUUGUGUGUUAGUGGAACGGUCUGGAAAGUCCGACGGUACAGGGUGAUAGUCCCGUACACGAAAGCACACUUGCUGUGAACUCGAAGAGUAGGGCGGGACACGUGGUAUCCUGUCUGAAUAUGGGGGGACCAUCCUCCAAGGCUAAAUACUCCUGACUGACCGAUAGUGAACCAGUACCGUGAGGGAAAGGCGAAAAGAACCCCGGCGAGGGGAGUGAAAAAGAACCUGAAACCGUGUACGUACAAGCAGUGGGAGCCUCUUUAUGGGGUGACUGCGUACCUUUUGUAUAAUGGGUCAGCGACUUAUAUUCUGUAGCAAGGUUAACCGUAUAGGGGAGCCGAAGGGAAACCGAGUCUUAACUGGGCGUUAAGUUGCAGGGUAUAGACCCGAAACCCGGUGAUCUAGCCAUGGGCAGGUUGAAGGUUGGGUAACACUAACUGGAGGACCGAACCGACUAAUGUUGAAAAAUUAGCGGAUGACCUGUGGCUGGGGGUGAAAGGCCAAUCAAACCGGGAGAUAGCUGGUUCUCCCCGAAAGCUAUUUAGGUAGCGCCUCGUGAACUCAUCUUCGGGGGUAGAGCACUGUUUCGGCUAGGGGGCCAUCCCGGCUUACCAACCCGAUGCAAACUACGAAUACCGAAGAAUGUUAUCACGGGAGACACACGGCGGGUGCUAACGUCCGUCGUGAAGAGGGAAACAACCCAGACCGCCAGCUAAGGUCCCAAAGUCAUGGUUAAGUGGGAAACGAUGUGGGAAGGCACAGACAGCCAGGAUGUUGGCUUAGAAGCAGCCAUCAUUUAAAGAAAGCGUAAUAGCUCACUGGUCGAGUCGGCCUGCGCGGAAGAUGUAACGGGGCUAAACCAUGCACCGAAGCUGCGGCAGCGACACUAUGUGUUGUUGGGUAGGGGAGCGUUCUGUAAGCCGUUGAAGGUGUGCUGUGAGGCAUGCUGGAGGUAUCAGAAGUGCGAAUGCUGACAUAAGUAACGAUAAAGCGGGUGAAAAGCCCGCUCGCCGGAAGACCAAGGGUUCCUGUCCAACGUUAAUCGGGGCAGGGUGAGUCGACCCCUAAGGCGAGGCCGAAAGGCGUAGUCGAUGGGAAACAGGUUAAUAUUCCUGUACUUGGUGUUACUGCGAAGGGGGGACGGAGAAGGCUAUGUCAGCCGGGCGACGGUUGUCCCGGUUUAAGCAUGUAGGCGGAGGUUCCAGGUAAAUCCGGUACCUUAUUAACGCUGAGGUGUGAUGACGAGGCACUACGGUGCUGAAGUGAUAAAUGCCCUGCUUCCAGGAAAAGCCUCUAAGCAUCAGGUAACACGAAAUCGUACCCCAAACCGACACAGGUGGUCAGGUAGAGAAUACCAAGGCGCUUGAGAGAACUCGGGUGAAGGAACUAGGCAAAAUGGUGCCGUAACUUCGGGAGAAGGCACGCUGAUGUGUAGGUGAAGUCCCUGCGGAUGGAGCUGAAAUCAGUCGAAGAUACCAGCUGGCUGCAACUGUUUAUUAAAAACACAGCACUGUGCAAACACGAAAGUGGACGUAUACGGUGUGACGCCUGCCCGGUGCCGGAAGGUUAAUUGAUGGGGUUAGCGGCAACGCGAAGCUCUUGAUCGAAGCCCCGGUAAACGGCGGCCGUAACUAUAACGGUCCUAAGGUAGCGAAAUUCCUUGUCGGGUAAGUUCCGACCUGCACGAAUGGCGUAAUGAUGGCCAGGCUGUCUCCACCCGAGACUCAGUGAAAUUGAACUCGCUGUGAAGAUGCAGUGUACCCGCGGCAAGACGGAAAGACCCCGUGAACCUUUACUAUAGCUUGACACUGAACACUGGUCCUUGAUGUGUAGGAUAGGUGGGAGGCUUUGAAGCGUGGACGCCAGUCUGCGUGGAGCCNGACCCGUAAUCCGGGUUGCGGACAGUGUCUGGUGGGUAGUUUGACUGGGGCGGUCUCCUCCCAAAGAGUAACGGAGGAGCACGAAGGUUGGCUAAUCCUGGUCGGACAUCAGGAGGUUAGUGCAAUGGCAUAAGCCAGCUUGACUGCGAGCGUGACGGCGCGAGCAGGUGCGAAAGCAGGUCAUAGUGAUCCGGUGGUUCUGAAUGGAAGGGCCAUCGCUCAACGGAUAAAAGGUACUCCGGGGAUAACAGGCUGAUACCGCCCAAGAGUUCAUAUCGACGGCGGUGUUUGGCACCUCGAUGUCGGCUCAUCACAUCCUGGGGCUGAAGUAGGUCCCAAGGGUAUGGCUGUUCGCCAUUUAAAGUGGUACGCGAGCUGGGUUUAGAACGUCGUGAGACAGUUCGGUCCCUAUCUGCCGUGGGCGCUGGAGAAUUGAGGGGGGCUGCUCCUAGUACGAGAGGACCGGAGUGGACGCAUCACUGGUGUUCGGGUUGUCAUGCCAAUGGCACUGCCCGGUAGCUAAAUGCGGAAGAGAUAAGUGCUGAAAGCAUCUAAGCACGAAACUUGCCCCGAGAUGAGUUCUCCCUGAGACUUUAAGUCUCCUGAAGGAACGUUGAAGACGACGACGUUGAUAGGUCGGGUGUGUAAGCGCAGCGAUGCGUUGAGCUAACCGAUACUAAUGAACCGUGAGGCUUAACCUU
RNAcentral lists this ribosomal RNA (2862 nucleotides) under Enterobacter cloacae. RNAcentral describes it as "bacterial LSU rRNA". It matches the Rfam family "Bacterial large subunit ribosomal RNA". The record is from RNAcentral. Lineage: Bacteria; Pseudomonadati; Pseudomonadota; Gammaproteobacteria; Enterobacterales; Enterobacteriaceae.